CAAAUUUCCAUUUUUGACUGGAAACAUGAAGCAUCUUGUGUAGAAGAAAUGAAGACUUUUUUGGUCACCAUCUCUCCCAACAGUCUCCAGCAGUUUUUAACAUUCAUCUCAACUUCUCUUCAACGAGCUCGAUGCAACGAUACAAUACGAGCUCUACUGGGUUUCUCGUGUUUUUCCUCUCUCUUUCCUCUUAUCGAUCAUCUACUGGAAACCGAGCUCCCCCUCUUCUCAGAUUCCUCUCCGUUGACUUCCCCUAAAACCCCAUCUCCGUUCAUCCAUACUUGGCUCAUCCUUUGAUUUUCCCAUACUCGAUCCAACCCCCUCCGGUUUGUAGUUCCACUUUCAAUUCCCCGCUUCGGACGCCGAUUCUCUGUUUUCCGAAGAAGAAAUGGCGUUUAUCCUUCUCUAGGCUGUUGUGAUUCUUCCUUCCUCGUCUCUGCAACCAACCUGCUUCAAAUCCUAAUCCACCUACUCAAAUUUGCAGUCAUGGCUAUUCGUGUUACUCUCUCCUACUCUGGCUAUGUCGCCCAAAACCUAGCCUCCUCCACCGGCCUUCGGGCCGGUAACUGCCGCGUCUUUCAGGAGUUUUGGGUCCGAUCUUGUAUUUUUGGAUCGACCCAUAAUCCGGAGCUCAAAUCUGCUGGAAGCGCGCGCAAUUAUCGGUCCGAUAGCCGGCGGUUCAAGCCUGGUGACUCUGUCGAGAAGCCAACUUCUAUGUACAGCACUCUCGCCGGAGAAAGGGUUGGGGAAAGCCCUAAGAAUCCCAUGGUUUUGGGUUUGAUGUCGAUGUUGAAAUCGAUGGCCGAUUCUUCUGUGAUCAGUACGGGGACUUUUGGGGUUUCUUCGUUUAAAGCCACUUCGAUUAUACCCUUUUUACAAGGAUCGAAGUGGCUUCCGGGUUAUGAUAUACGAUCUCGUGUAAGCGACGAUGUGGAUAAAGGCGGAACAACGGUUUGUUAUGAUUAUGAUCUAUGUGGGAGUAAACAGUUUUAUGAGAAUGAUUUUGAGAAGAGCAGCUGGGUUUCGCGCUUGUUGAGUACUUAUUCCGAGGACGCAAAGGCCCUCUUUACGGCUUUGACUGUUAGUGUGCUCUUUAAAUCUUUCUUGGCGGAGCCGAAAUCGAUUCCUUCUUCUUCCAUGUGUCCUACUCUGGAAGUAGGGGAUCGUAUUUUAGCAGAAAAGGUUUCGUACUUUUUCAGGAAACCUGAAGUUUCAGAUAUAGUGAUCUUUAGGGCUCCUCAAAUCUUGCAGGAAUUUGGAGUUAGUUCAAAUGAAGUGUUUAUUAAGAGAGUUGUGGCUACAUCUGGGGACGUGGUUGCAGUUCAAAAAGGGAAAUUGGUGGUAAAUGGUGUAGUUCAAGAUGAGGACUUUGUCUUAGAGCCAAUUGCUUAUGAGAUGGAUCCAUUGCUUGUGCCUGAAGGUUAUGUGUAUGUAAUGGGGGACAACCGUAACAACAGUUGUGAUUCUCAUGACUGGGGUCCACUCCCAAUAGAAAAUAUUGUAGGUAGAUCAUUAUUCAAGUAUUGGCCUCCCUCCAAGGGAUCCGGUAUGGUUGAUGAAUCACAUGCAAGGAAGAUUAAUCUGGGUAUUUCCUGACACAAUGUCCUUGGUAUUACCCUACCCUGUCACACUUUCACAGGGAUGAAAUUGCCCCUUUUCGGUACCAACCGCUGCAAUAUCUUUGCAUAUAAAACUUGGAUUGGACUUCAUGUCCGAAUGGUGUGUAUUAAUGGAAGUAACUCCUGUACCUUGUGAUGUCA
This 1760-nucleotide unclassified non-coding RNA is filed under the name Hevea brasiliensis (rubber tree). Lineage: Eukaryota; Viridiplantae; Streptophyta; Magnoliopsida; Malpighiales; Euphorbiaceae. The record is from RNAcentral.